Molecule: long non-coding RNA, 1255 nt
Filed under: Sorghum bicolor (sorghum)
Lineage: Eukaryota; Viridiplantae; Streptophyta; Magnoliopsida; Poales; Poaceae
Description: long non-coding RNA (SBIC_LNC015182)
Source: RNAcentral
GUCCUGGCAUUUGUCAAACAUGUAAAAGUGUUUUUUUUAAAUAUAAUUAUUGACGGUUAUACUUUUUGUUCCCACCGAACAAAUUAAAGAUAAGGUUAGUUAUAAGAGUAACAUGCAUUUUAUCCUUGACUUGAUAAAAUACACGUUAACAGGGCGCUCAUCGUAACCGAGUGCGCGCCGUGCGGGGGUGCAAAUAGGGUCAGCGCCGGACGACCUUGACCGAAGCUGACGGAUCGGAGCCGAGCACGUGCAAGGCCUUGUUGGGGCUCGUGUGGCUGGCUGGCUGGCUGGCAGUACGAGGAUUCGUCGUCCCGUCCCGCCCGAAAACUGAAAAGUUUUUUUUUUUUGAAUUGUAACACUUUCGUUUAUUUUUGGUAAAUAUUGUUCAAUCAUAGACUAACUAAGGUUAAAAGAUUCAUCUCGUGAUUUACAGUCAAACUGUGUGAUUAGUUUUUAUUUUCGUCUAUACUUAAUGCUUCAUGUAUGUGCCGCAAGAUUUGAUGUGACAAAAAAUCUUAAAAACUUUUUAAAUUUCGGGAUGAACUAGCCAAUAGCCUGUGCGGACGAUCCGGGCCGUCCGAGUCGUGACUCGUGACACGGACGGGCGACGACCGCGGGGAUCGGGGGCCGCCUUGUCACGUUGGAUGGCCGGCCUAGGGGGAGGGGCGGCCCUACGGUGCAGUGCACCAGGCAUGCUCCACGGACCACGGCCACCCAGCCGUGUCAGUUUUUUUUUUUAUUUCCACAAGGGUUUAGAACUUAGGCCUCGUUUAGUUCCCAAAAUUUUUCAAGAUUCCCCAUCACAUCGAAUCUUGCGGCACAUACAUAAAACAUUAAAUAUAGACGAAAACAAAAACUAAUUACACAGUUCACCUGUAAAUCACGAGACGAAUCUUUUGAUCCUAGUUAGUCUAUGAUUGGAUAAUAUUUGCCAUAAACAAACGAAAGUGCUACAGUGGCGAAAUCCAAAAUUUUUCCCAAACUAAACAAGGCCUUAGGCAAAAAUUUUUUAUCCCCAAUCUAAACAGGGCCAAAAUAUGAUAGUAGCAUUUUCGUUUGUAUUUGAUAAAUAUUGUCUAAUUAUAGACUAACUAGGCUUAAAAGAUUUGUCUAGCCAAUUCCGACCAAAUUGUGCAAUUAGUUUUUUAUUUCGUCUAUAUUUAAUACUCCAUGCAUACGUUUAAAAAUUCGAUGUGACGGGGAAUCUGAAAAAUUUUGCAAAAUUUUUGGGUAACUAAGACUAUCUCCAACAAUC